GACGAACGCUGGCGGCGUGCUUAACACAUGCAAGUCGAACGAUGAAGCCCAGCUUGCUGGGUGGAAGAGUGGCGAACGGGUGAGUAACACGUGAGUAACCUGCCCUUGACUCUGGGAUAAGCGCUGGAAACGGCGUCUAAUACUGGAUACGACCUAUCACCGCAUGGUGUGUGGGUGGAAAGAUUUAUCGGUUUUGGAUGGACUCGCGGCCUAUCAGCUUGUUGGUGAGGUAAUGGCUCACCAAGGCGACGACGGGUAGCCGGCCUGAGAGGGUGACCGGCCACACUGGGACUGAGACACGGCCCAG
RNAcentral lists this ribosomal RNA (307 nucleotides) under uncultured bacterium. Its description in RNAcentral is "bacterial SSU rRNA". It matches the Rfam family "Bacterial small subunit ribosomal RNA", at positions 28 to 334 of the family's 1533-position model. The record is from RNAcentral.